AAUAGAUACCCCGGUAGUCCACGCCGUAAACGAUGAGUGCUAAGUGUUAGGGGGUUUCCGGCCCCUUAGUGCUGCAGCUAACGCAUUAAGCACUCCGCCUGGGGAGUACGGUCGCAAGACUGAAACUCAAAGGAAUUGACGGGGGCCCGCACAAGCGGUGGAGCAUGUGGUUUAAUUCGAAGCAACGCGAAGAACCUUACCAGGUCUUGACAUCCCAUUGACCACUAUGGAGACAUAGUUUUCCCUUCGGGGACAACGGUGACAGGUGGUGCAUGGUUGUCGUCAGCUCGUGUCGUGAGAUGUUGGGUUAAGUCCCGCAACGAGCGCAACCCUUGUUCUUAGUUGCCAUCAUUUAGUUGGGCACUCUAAGGAGACUGCCGGUGACAAACCGGGUGGAAGGUGGGGAUGACGUCAAAUCAUCAUGCCCCUUAUGACCUGGGCUACACACGUGCUACAAUGGACGGUACAAACGGUUGCCAAACCCGGCGAGGGGGGAGCCUAAAUCCCGGAUAAAACCCGUUCUACAGUUCGGAUUGUAGGCUGCAACUCGCCUACAUGAAGCCG
This 564-nucleotide ribosomal RNA is filed under the name uncultured bacterium. Its description in RNAcentral is "bacterial SSU rRNA". It matches the Rfam family "Bacterial small subunit ribosomal RNA", at positions 777 to 1328 of the family's 1533-position model. The record is from RNAcentral.